GAUGAGAACGCAGCGAAAUGCGAUAAGUAAUGUGAAUUGCAGAAUUCAGUGAAUCAUCGAAUCUUUGAACGCACAUUGCGCCCCUUGGUAUUCCGAGGGGCAUGCCUGUUCGAGCGUCAUUAUAACCCCUCAAGCUCAGCUUGGUGUUGGGGCCUGCUGCACUGGCAGCCCUUAAAAUCAGUGGCGGCGCCAUCUGGCUCUAAGCGUAGUAAUUCUUCUCGCUAUGGAGUCCUGGUGGAUGCUUGCCAUCAACCCCCAAUUUUUCUAUGGUUGACCUCGGAUCAGGUAGGGAUACCCGCUGAACUUAAGCAUAUCAAUAAGCGGAGGA
This 328-nucleotide unclassified non-coding RNA is filed under the name soil metagenome. Its description in RNAcentral is "partial contains 5.8S ribosomal RNA, internal transcribed spacer 2, and large subunit ribosomal RNA". The stretch from base 5 to 119 matches the Rfam family "5.8S ribosomal RNA", at positions 40 to 154 of the family's 154-position model. The record is from RNAcentral.